AGAGGUUUGNCCAUCAUUGGCUCAGGAUGAACGCUAGCGGCAGGCCUAAUACAUGCAAGUCGAACGGUGUCUAGCAAUAGGCAUAGUGGCGCACGGGUGCGUAACGCGUAACCAACCUACCCACAACUGGGGGAUAGCCCGCCGAAAGGCGGAUUAAUACCGCAUAAGCUUUGGAAUUGGCAUCAGUUCUUUAGUAAAGAUUUAUUGGUUGUGGAUGGGGUUGCGUGCCAUUAGCUAGUUGGUGAGGUAACGGCUCACCAAGGCGACGGUGGCUAGGGGAGCUGAGAGGCUGGUCCCCCACACGGGCACUGAGAUACGGGCCCGACUCCUACGGGAGGCAGCAGUAGGGAAUAUUGGGCAAUGGCCGAGAGGCUGACCCAGCCAUGCCGCGUGCAGGAUGAAGGCUUUCUGAGUCGUAAACUGCUUUUAUCAGGGAAGAAUAAGGCUCAUGCGUGGGCUGAUGACGGUACCUGAGGNAAUAAGCACCGGCUAACUCCGUGCCAGCAGCCGCGGUAAUACG
This 520-nucleotide ribosomal RNA is filed under the name uncultured Bacteroidota bacterium. RNAcentral's name for it is "bacterial SSU rRNA". It matches the Rfam family "Bacterial small subunit ribosomal RNA", at positions 1 to 527 of the family's 1533-position model. The record is from RNAcentral. Lineage: Bacteria; Pseudomonadati; Bacteroidota.